CGUAGGGUGCGAGCGUUAAUCGGAAUUACUGGGCGUAAAGCGUGCGCAGGCGGUUAUAUAAGACAGUUGUGAAAUCCCCGGGCUUAACCUGGGAACUGCAUCUGUGACUGUAUAGCUAGAGUACGGCAGAGGGGGAUGGAAUUCCGCGUGUAGCAGUGAAAUGCGUAGAUAUGCGGAGGAACACCGAUGGCGAAGGCAAUCCCCUGGGCCUGUACUGACGCUCAUGCACGAAAGCGUGGGGAGCAAACAGGA
This 252-nucleotide ribosomal RNA is filed under the name uncultured Comamonadaceae bacterium. Its description in RNAcentral is "partial 16S ribosomal RNA". It matches the Rfam family "Bacterial small subunit ribosomal RNA", at positions 526 to 777 of the family's 1533-position model. Lineage: Bacteria; Pseudomonadati; Pseudomonadota; Betaproteobacteria; Burkholderiales; Comamonadaceae. The record is from RNAcentral.